RNAcentral lists this ribosomal RNA (223 nucleotides) under uncultured bacterium. RNAcentral describes it as "partial 16S ribosomal RNA". It matches the Rfam family "Bacterial small subunit ribosomal RNA", at positions 524 to 741 of the family's 1533-position model. The record is from RNAcentral.
UACGUAGGGUGCGAGCGUUAAUCGGAAUUACUGGGCGUAAAGGGUGCGCAGGCGGUUAUAUAAGACAGAUGUGAAAUCCCCGGGCUCAACCUGGGAACUGCGUUUGUGACUGUAUGACUAGAGUACGGUAGAGAGGGGUGGAAUUCCUGGUGUAGCAGUGAAAUGCGUAGAUAUUCGCAAGAACACCAGUGACGAAAGGCGGCUCGACUGGCCCGUAGUACCU